Long non-coding RNA from Chelonia mydas (Green sea turtle), 1030 nucleotides. RefSeq lists it as uncharacterized. The record is from RefSeq and is a predicted model, not a curated record. The transcript is spliced from 2 exons. Lineage: Eukaryota; Metazoa; Chordata; Testudines; Cheloniidae.
GCAGCACCUCGGGGGGCCAACUGGGUAGGGUCACAGAAUGACUAGGACUGGGGGCGCGGGGGGUGGCUGGCUGAUCAUUUGUUUUUCCUAGGCGAGGCAGAGUGCAGGUCUGGUGUUUAUCCUGCAGGUGGAGAACAGCCAUGUUUGGUUUUGUGCACUUUUUUCCCUAUUUUUAAUGGCUAUUUGCACAAUUGCAGGAAACCCCGGGCGGUGUCGGACAAUCAUUUUUAAUGACAGUCUCUAAUAUGUUCUCAAGCCCCGUUUUUCUUACUUUGCAGAGCUGUAACUCUCCAUUAUUAUUGAUGGAAAUGGUUUUCGUCGGUUUGGGGCUAUGUGACUUCCUACCAGAGAAAGCUCCUAACCCAACGACCUCACAAUCCAAAUAACAAGCUGAGAAGACUAGAGGAGCUGAGAGACCCAGAGGAAUGUGGUAACUUUCAGACGCCCUAAUCGUCGGAGCCCUGGGUGCCUGGGACCCCUGCAACAAGCAUGUGCUGCAGAGCUGCAGGAUUGGUCGACGCUAUGCACAGCUCAUGAGGCACCUCGUGGUCUCGGACACCAUCCAAUAGUCCAGGGACAUCUACACUGAACACAUCACCGGCCACCGACAGUACCAGGAGGUGAGAGCCAGAGCAACAUCAUGUUUUGACUACGAGACAGGGACUGAGAGACUUUUUUCCGUUGGACCAUACAAACUGGAACCAUAAACUCAAUGAAUGUUAAAUCUCACCAAAUGAGGGUCAAUCCAUCCUCAUCGUCGUAUCCACUCAUUAUACUCCACACCUGAACAUAGCCAUUAUAUGAACAACAUACCCUCAUGUCCCAAUGUCUGUACUUUGACCCGUUAACCUUUUACCCCCAAUCAGGGAUAUUGCAGAUUAUGUAUUUCUUACACCACCAGACCUUAAACCGAACUUCGUACCCCUUGAUGAUCUGUACGUUAUUCCCCGAUAACCAGAAACUUCUAUGCUUAAACUCUGUACCGUUCACUUUUUUUUAAACAUCAUCUUAAUAAAAUUUUCCCUCCUUC